CCUACGGGAGGCAGCAGUGGGGAAUAUUGCACAAUGGGGGAAACCCUGAUGCAGCGAUGCCGCGUGAGUGAAGAUGUCUUUCGGUAUGUAAAGCUCUAUCAUCAGGGAAGAAAAUGACGGUACCGGAUUAAGAAGCGCCGGCUAACUACGUGCCAGCAGCCGCGGUAAUACGUAGGGGGCACGCGUUAUCCGGAUUUACUGGGUUUAAAGGGAGCGUAGACGGCAGCACAAGUCUGGAGUGAAAUGCCGGGGCUUAACCCCGGAGCUGCUUUGGAAACUGGGCAGCUAGAGUGCAGGAGCGGUCAGUGGAAUGUGUAGUGUAGCGGUGAAAUGCGUAGAUAUUAGGAGGAACACCAGUGGCGAAGGCGGCUGACUGGACUGUAACUGACGUUGAGGCUCGAAAGCGUGGGGAGCAAACAGGAUUAGAUACCCGGGUAGUC
RNAcentral lists this ribosomal RNA (440 nucleotides) under uncultured bacterium. Its description in RNAcentral is "partial 16S ribosomal RNA". It matches the Rfam family "Bacterial small subunit ribosomal RNA", at positions 338 to 795 of the family's 1533-position model. The record is from RNAcentral.